Molecule: transfer RNA, 86 nt
Filed under: Candidatus Omnitrophota bacterium
Lineage: Bacteria; Pseudomonadati; Candidatus Omnitrophota
Description: tRNA-Leu
Rfam family: tRNA
About the family: Transfer RNA (tRNA) molecules are approximately 80 nucleotides in length. Their secondary structure includes four short double-helical elements and three loops (D, anti-codon, and T loops).
Source: RNAcentral
GCGCGAGUGGCGGAACGGCAGACGCACCAGCUUGAGGGGCUGGCGGGAGCGAUCUCGUGCGAGUUCAAAUCUCGCCUCGCGCACCA